This 501-nucleotide ribosomal RNA is filed under the name uncultured bacterium. Its description in RNAcentral is "partial 16S ribosomal RNA". It matches the Rfam family "Bacterial small subunit ribosomal RNA", at positions 30 to 523 of the family's 1533-position model. The record is from RNAcentral.
AUUGAACGCUGGCGGCAGGCUUAACACAUGCAAGUCGAGCGGGGGAAGGUAGCUUGCUACCGGACCUAGCGGCGGACGGGUGAGUAAUGCUUAGGAAUCUGCCUAUUAGUGGGGGACAACAUCUCGAAAGGGAUGCUAAUACAGCAUACGUCCUACGGGAGAAAGCAGGGGAUCUUCGGACCUUGCGCUAAUAGAUGAGCCUAAGUCGGAUUAGCUAGUUGGUGGGGUAAAGGCCUACCAAGGCGACGAUCUGUAGCGGGUCUGAGAGGAUGAUCCGCCACACUGGGACUGAGGCACGGCCCAGACUCCUACGGGAGGCAGCAGUGGGGAAUAGUGGACAAUGGGGGUAACCCUGAUCCAGCCAUGCCGCGUGUGUGAAGAAGGCCUUAUGGUUGUAAAGCACUUUAAGCGAGGAGGAGGCUACUCUAGUUAAUACCUAGGGAUAGUGGACGUUACUCGCAGAAUAAGCACCGGCUAACUCUGUGCCAGCCGCCGCAGUAA